CAAUAGCGUAUAUUAAAGUUGUUGCAGUUAAAAAGCUCGUAGUUGGAUUUGUGGUGUAUGGUGUGUUCCGGGCACUUGUUGUCUGAGUAACUUGCCAUUGCCAUCCUUGGGUGGAACCUGUGUGGCAUUAGGUUGUCGUGCAGGGGAUGCCCAUCGUUUACUGUGAAAAAAUUAGAGUGUUCAAAGCAGGCUUAUGCCGUUGAAUAUAUUAGCAUGGAAUAAUAAGAUAGGACUUUUUUGCUAUUUUGUUGGUUUGCGCGAGAAGGUAAUGAUUAAUAGGGAUAGUUGGGGGUAUUCGUAUUCCAUUGUCAGAGGUGAAAUUCUUGGAUUUUUGGAAGACGAACUACUGCGAAAGCAUUUACCAAGGAUGUUUNCAUUA
Molecule: ribosomal RNA, 379 nt
Filed under: uncultured eukaryote
Lineage: Eukaryota
Description: partial 18S ribosomal RNA
Rfam family: Eukaryotic small subunit ribosomal RNA
Source: RNAcentral